This 292-nucleotide ribosomal RNA is filed under the name uncultured bacterium. RNAcentral's name for it is "partial 16S ribosomal RNA". The record is from RNAcentral.
GGACUACCCGGGUUUCUAAUCCCGUUCGCUCCCCUGGCUUUCGCACCUGAGCGUCAGGUACUUCCCAGGACACUGCCUUCGCCUUUGGUGUUCCUCCGGAUCUCUACGCAUUUCACCACUCCACCCGGAAUUCCGUGUCCCUCUGAAGCCCUCAAGUCCGCUCGUUUCCCAGGCACUUGCUCAGUUAAGCCGAGCACUGUCACCCAGAACGCAGCGGACCGCCUGCGUGCGCUUUACGCCCAGUAACUCCGGACAACGCUUGCCUCCUACGUAUUACCGCGGCGGCUGGCAC